This 539-nucleotide ribosomal RNA is filed under the name Candidatus Enterovibrio escicola. RNAcentral's name for it is "bacterial SSU rRNA". It matches the Rfam family "Bacterial small subunit ribosomal RNA", at positions 996 to 1532 of the family's 1533-position model. The record is from RNAcentral. Lineage: Bacteria; Pseudomonadati; Pseudomonadota; Gammaproteobacteria; Vibrionales; Vibrionaceae.
GCCGAAAGAGAUUUCGGUGUGCCUUUGGGAACUCUGAGACAGGUGCUGCAUGGCUGUCGUCAGCUCGUGUUGUGAAAUGUUGGGUUAAGUCCCGCAACGAGCGCAACCCUUAUCCUUGUUUGCCAGCACAUAAAGGUGGGAACUCCAAGGAGACUGCCGGUGAUAAACUGGAGGAAGGUGGGGACGACGUCAAGUCAUCAUGGCCCUUACGAGUAGGGCUACACACGUGCUACAAUGGCAUAUACAGAGGGUUGCGAGACCGCGAGGUGAAGCGAAUCCCACAAAGUAUGUCGUAGUCCGGAUCGGAGUCUGCAACUCGACUCUGUGAAGUCGGAAUCGCUAGUAAUCGUGAAUCAGAAUGUCACGGUGAAUACGUUCUCGGGCCUUGUACACACCGCCCGUCACACCAUGGGAGUGGGUUGCACCAGAAGUGGAUAGCUUAACCUUUAGGGGAGGGCGUUUACCACGGUGUGGUUCAUGACUGGGGUGAAGUCGUAACAAGGUAGCCCUAGGGGAACCUGGGGCUGGAUCACCUCCUU